Molecule: ribosomal RNA, 322 nt
Filed under: uncultured eukaryote
Lineage: Eukaryota
Description: partial 18S ribosomal RNA
Rfam family: Eukaryotic small subunit ribosomal RNA
Source: RNAcentral
CCCUUAGAUGUUCUGGGCCGCACGCGUGCUACACUGAGUGGAUCAGCGGGUCAGGUUGCGCGAAAGCGUUUCCUAAUCUUUAAAUCCGCUCGUGAUGGGGAUUGACGGUUGCAAUUUUCUGUCAUGAACGAGGAAUACCUUGUAAGCGCGGGUCAUCAUCCCGCGCUGAAUACGUCCCUGCCCUUUGUACACACCGCCCGUCACUCCUACCGAUUGAGUGGUCCGGUGAGGCUUUGGGAUCUGAGCGGAAAGAGCGUUUCGCUGUUUCUGCUCGGAAAACUCAGUCGAACCUUAUCAUUUAGAGGAAGGAGAAGUCGUAACA